UUAGAGUUUGAUCCUGGCUCAGGAUGAACCGCUAGCGGGAGGCUUAACACAUGCAAGUCGAGGGGCAGCACAAGUAUUUAUAUUUGGUGGCGACCGGCGGAUGGGUGAGUAACACGUAUGCAACCUACCAUUUACAGGAGGAUAGCCCGGAGAAAUUCGGAUUAAUACUCCAUGUAUCAAUUAAUUCGCAUGAAUUUUUUGAUAAAGUUUUCAACGGUAUUUGAUGGGCAUGCGUCCCAUUAGCUAGUUGGUAAGGUAACGGCUUACCAAGGCGAUGAUGGGUACGGGGUCUUAAAGGAUGAUCCCGCACACUGGCACUGAGACACGGGCCAGACUCCUACGGGAGGCAGCAGUGAGGAAUAUUGGUCAAUGGGGGGAACCCUGAACCAGCCAUCCCGCGUGCAGGAAGACAGUUCUAGUAAUUGUAAACUGCUUUUAUUAAAGAAGAAUAAGUUUGACUUGUCAAAUGAUGACAGUAUUUAAUGAAUAAGCAUCGGCUAACUCCGUGCCAGCAGCCGCGGUAAUACGGAGGAUGCAAGCGUUAUCCGGAUUUAUUAGGUUUAAAGGGUGUGUAGGCGGGAUAAUAAGUCAGUGGUGAAAGUUUUCAGCUUAACUGGAAAAUUGCCAUUGAAACUGUUUUUCUUGAGUUUGGAUGAGGUAUGCGGAAUGUGUAAUGUAGCGGUGAAAUGCUUAGAUAUUACUCAGAACCCCUAUUGCGAAGGCAGCAUGCUAAUCCAUAACUGACGCUGAUGCACGAAAGCGUGGGGAUCAAACAGGAUUAGAUACCCUGGUAGUCCACGCCGUAAA
RNAcentral lists this ribosomal RNA (807 nucleotides) under uncultured bacterium. RNAcentral describes it as "bacterial SSU rRNA". It matches the Rfam family "Bacterial small subunit ribosomal RNA", at positions 1 to 806 of the family's 1533-position model. The record is from RNAcentral.